CGGCCUGAAAUGAUGACUGUAAUUUCAUGUCUCUUCUCUGACAUUUUUCUCUGGAGAUAAUUUUUGCCUUACUGAUCUGAUCAGGCUG
This 88-nucleotide small nucleolar RNA is filed under the name Neotoma lepida (desert woodrat). RNAcentral's name for it is "Small nucleolar RNA SNORD111". It matches the Rfam family "Small nucleolar RNA SNORD111". Rfam says of the family: The members of this family belong to the C/D class of snoRNAs which contain the C (UGAUGA) and D (CUGA) box motifs. Most of the members of the box C/D family function in directing site-specific 2'-O-methylation of substrate RNAs. HBII-82 (SNORD111) is predicted to guide the 2'O-ribose methylation of 28S rRNA G3923. Lineage: Eukaryota; Metazoa; Chordata; Mammalia; Rodentia; Cricetidae. The record is from Rfam by way of RNAcentral.